Long non-coding RNA from Acanthochromis polyacanthus (spiny chromis), 7098 nucleotides. RefSeq lists it as uncharacterized. The transcript is spliced from 2 exons. The record is from RefSeq and is a predicted model, not a curated record. Lineage: Eukaryota; Metazoa; Chordata; Actinopteri; Pomacentridae.
CAGCAGCCACCGCAGCUCUUCCCACAGCUUCCUCCCAGUGAUGCACACUGACCGCUCAGGGCCGCCACGCCACAGCGAGAGAACUGGUCACGACACAGAUCCGCUACACGGGCACACAGAGCAGCUCUCAUGCGUCCUGUGAGUGAAGGAGGACCUCGCAGCGCCACAUUGUACUACCCCACAUCUGGAGUCUCCUCCCUCCAGUCCAGUCCGGCCUCCAGCCUCCAGGCCCUGGUCCCAGCACUGACCUGUAAAAAGGUAACCGCAAACUGGUCACCCAUCUGGAAGAGCAACAUUAGAGCUCAAUUAUGGGACACACACUAAUGAGCUCCUAUAGGUGGCAUGUGUAAAUAAUUACAUGCCAACAUCUGGAUACCCUGACCAAGAUGCCUUAUAGGAUUUUUACCUUUUCAGAUAGAAUCCUUAAAGGUUCCUAUAAAAUUUUCCACAUCCUCUGAGACAGUCUAAGGAAAUAGGUUUGGGUUUGCACAGUGGCGGAUCUUCCAUGGGGACAUGAGGGGGCAGUGCCCCCCCUGUGAUCUGAUUGGGUACCCUGUGAGCCCCCCCAAAAUUUUCAUUGGAAAUUUACAUUACUAAUACUCCAAUUUCCAACGCUCCUGAAUGCAACUUCAUUGUCCGACUGUGCCUGAAUGCACGAACGAUGUUCGUUUGAUCUUUUGAUUGUAUUUUGUUUGGAUUGAAGAAGCUUUGAAGACAUUUCCUGAGGAGAAGACAAGCAGCUUUGUACCUUUGUGGUAAGAAGAUUGGGGCCGUUUCUUAGUACGUAACUGUCCGCACUUUCGUUCUCACAUACUUGUGAAACGUGAUCAUUGACACUGCAUCGGACCAGACUAGUGUGCAUAGAUAGAUAUGAAUCAGUAGAUAGGACCAUAGAUAUGAAUCAGUAGAUAGACCAUGCCUUUUUGAGCUGCAUUCUAUAGCUAGGCUAAGCUAGUGGGGGCAAAGUUUCAGAGCAGAACAAGUAUGCCGUCUCACUGUACUGCAUACAGUUGCACACUAUAUCGUACGAUUGAGACUAGGAAACUUGGAAUAACUUUUCAUAGUUAAGAAUAGCUUUUGUCUCUUUUUUCAUUAUUAAAUCUUGUUAGAGCUUCCAGUCUAUGAGAGCUAACUAGUUAGCCGCUAGCAAAACACUAACACGAGCUAGCAGCUUCACAACCAAAUACCAGACAAUUAAUAGUAGCUGUAGUAUAGUUGUACAAGCAGUAGUAGUAAUAAUAAAAGUACAAGCAGCAGUAGUAAUAUAAAUAGCUGUUGGAGUCGUAGAAUUAGUAUCAGCAUGUGUAAUAGUAUUACAAGUUGUAGUAGCAAUGCCAGUAUCAGCAGCAGUAGUUAGUGUACUAUCACUACUAGUAGUAGUAGUCACAUUAAUAAUACUACCAAUAAUACUACCAAUAGUAGUUUAAAGCCUAAUUCAUAUAAAUCCAGAUUACCAUCUAUGUUCUUCCUCUAAACCCAUUUUAUGAUUGGGAUUACAGCCAGUUCUUUAGGACUGCUCUCAAAUAAUUGAAAUGUUUCUGAACAAGGUUAUACUUUAAAAGUACACACAAAACCCCCCACAGAGACACAAAACAACCACAGAGACACAAAACAAUCAUUAAAAGACACAAACAACCACUAAAAGACACAAAACAACCACAAAGAGACACAAGACAACCACUAAAAGACACAAACAACUUAACACAAAAAUAAAAUACAACAUGGUUAACAAACAAAUGAAAUACCUUUGGUCUCCAGUAUAUUGGCUAAUUUGGUUCAUUUUCCUUAAUUUAUUAGCAUGAUUUCUUUUUAAAUAUGUUGUGUACAGGUAGCUAACACUUAUUACACUUUGAUGUACAUUUUCAAAGUCACAUUUUUGAAAUCAAGUAAUUUUUCCAUAAAACAUAUCAUGGCUUUUAUUUUGUCAGAGAAAUUUGGAAACGUCGUUUAUCCAUAAUUCCGCUAACUUGACUGAAUGUGGGCUGCAGUUCCCGUUAUUUAAACAUCAGUAUGAUGUAUAAAUGCAGAUGGACUUCAUAUAUUUCACUAUGCAGACAUAUUUAUUGAUGUCCUGCAUAUUUUAUAGACAUAAACAUAUUUGAUAGAAAUAUUAGAAAUGGAUAAACGGAUAAGCAAUGUUUCCUUUUACUUCCAGAAAAAUAAAAGCCUCAUAUUUGCUAUUUAUUAAAAAAUCACUAAAAGCAACACUUCCACCAAGUUUGUUUUAGUUUGUUGGCAUUUAUCGGUGGAGCAGCAGCACAUUUUCUACUGUCCGUUGUCUUGUUUUAAUCAGUUUUCAGUUCAGUAAUUCAGUCCUUCGGCUGAUUGGACCAACAGACACUGAAGGACUCCGACAGCUGGUUGGUAAUAAAUGAUAAUUUACUGAUCGGUGCUGGUUUUAAUUAACUUUAUGUUCAACUUUAGAGUCAGAUAUAAUGUGAGCAGUGAACCCCAGGAGUUGGUGUCAUCGGUGUUCACGGUCAGGUCUGUGGUAAUCUGUCAAAAAACAAAACAGAAAAAAAUCUAGAUUAUAAAUCAACAUGUAACCAGAGCACUCUGUGUAUAACACCAUAGUAUAGGAUGACCUUGUCCUGACUUAUGGCAUAGAAAUUGAAGAGUUAACAGUAUUUCCCCAGAACCCUCUUCUUUCUGACCAUUUUAUGAUAACAUUUCAAUUUAAAGUAAAGGAUUGUUUAGCAGCUGAGAACAAAUAUCAUUAGAGUAGAUGUUUAUCUGAUAAUUCAGUAACUAAAUUUAAGGAAAUAAUACCCUCUCUGUUUACUUCAACAACAUUUACUGAAAAAUCAGAAGGCAAAUAUUAUAAUUUUACCCCCACAGAAGUGGAUUAUUAUGUUAAUAAUGCUUCAGCCUCACUGCGUACAACUCUUGAUAGUGUUGCACCUGUAAAAAAAGAAAGUUAUAUCUCAGAGAGGAUUUGCUCCUUGGUAUAAUUCCCAGCUGCGGACUUUAAAGCAGGCAUCCCGAAAGCUGGAAAGAAAGUGGUAUUCCACUAAUUCAGAGGAAGUGUAUGUGGCUUGGAAAAAUAGUCUAGUAUUCUAUAAAAAUCGCUUCAUAAUGCCAGGACAACUUAUUAUUCAUCUUUAAUAGAGGAGAACAAGAACAAUCUUAGGUUUCUCUUUAGCACUGUAGCCAGGCUGACAAAGAGUCAGAGCUCUGUUGAACCUUGUAUUCCUUUAGCUUUAACCAGUAACGACUUCAUGAGCUUCUUUACACGUAAAAUAGUUAUGAUUAGAGAAAAAACAGUUUCUACAUCUAAACCAUCAACAUGUCUUUUAGAUCCUAUCCCAACUAGACGCUUCAAGGAGAUUUUACCUUUAAUUAAUUCUUCAAUGUUAGAUCUGAUUAAUCUCUCUCGAGUAACAGGCUAUGUACCACAGGCUUUAAAGGUUGCUGUCAUCAAACCCUUGCUUAAAAAGCCCACUUUAGAUCCAGAUGUGUUAGCUAACUAUAGACCAAUAUCCAACCUACCAUUAAUCUAUAAAAUUCUGGAAAGAUCAGUUGCAAAUCAAUUAUGUGAACACUUACAAAGGAAUAAUUUGAAGUGUUUCAGUCAGGCUUUAGAGUGCAUCAUAGCACAGAAACAGCUCUGGUGAAAGUUACUAAUGACCUUCUCAUAGCAUCAGAUAAUGGACUAGUCUCUAUACUUGUUUUGUUAGAUCUUAGUGCAGCAUUUGACACAAUCGACCACAAUAUUUUAUUACAGCGUCUGGAACAUUUAAUUGGCAUUAAAGGGACAGCACUGGACUGGUUUAAAUGCUACUUGUCAGAUAGGUUCCAGUUUGUGCACGUCAACAAUAACUCUUCUGAGCAUACUAAAGUUAAUCAUGGAGUUCCUCAGGGUUCUGUCUUAGGACCGGUACUUUUCACAUUAUACAUGCUUCCUUUAGGCAAUAUUAUUAGGAAGCAUUAUAUUAAUUUGAUGAUGACACACAAUUGUAUUUAUCUAUGAAGCCAGAUGAAACUGAUCAGCUAGCUAGACUGCAAGAUUGUCUUAAGGACAUUAAAACCUGGAUGACUUUUAACUUCCUACUGCUAAAUUCAGACAAAACUGAAGUCAUUGUAUUUGGCCCCAAACAUCUUAGAAACUCGCUUUCAAAGAAAAUAGUUACUCUGGAUGGCAUCACAUUGGCCUCCAGUACUACUGUGAGGAAUCUUGGAGUUAUUUUUGACCAGGACAUGUCCUUUAACUCACACAUAAAGCAAGUCUGUAGGACUUCCUUUUUUCACCUGCGUAAUAUUGUAAAAAUCAGGAACAUCCUGUCUCAGAGUGAUGCAGAAAAACGAGUUCAUGCUUUUGUUACUUCCAGGCUUGACUAUUGCAAUUCCUUAUUAUCGGGUUGUCCAAAUAGCUCUCUUAAACAUCUACAGUUGAUCCAAAACGCUGCUGCGAGAGUACUGACAGGAGUUAGCAAAAGAGAUCAUAUUUCCCCUAUACUUGCUUCUCUUCACUGACUUCCUGUUAAAUCCAGAAUAGAAUUUAAAAUCCUUCUUCUGACAUAUAAAGCUCUUCAUAACCAAUCUUAUCUUAAAGAUCUGAUAGUACCAUAUUAUCCUAGUAGAACUCUUCACUCUCAAACUGCAGGCUUACUUGUUGUUCCUAGAAUUUCUAAAAGUAGAAUGGGAGGCAGAGCCUUCAGUUAUCAGGUGCCUCUCCUGUGGAACCUGCUCCCAGUUUGGGUUCGGGAGGCAGAUACCCUCUCUAUCUUUAAGACCAGGCUUAAAACGUUCCUUUUUGACAAAUCUUAUAGUUGGGGCUGACUGGGUGACCCACAGGGGUUCGGCUUGUGUCUUCGUUUCCACAGCUGACUCCCUCUUGGACGUCCCUUCGUUCUGCCUCUAGUCAUGCUGCUAUAGGCCUAUAGGCUGCUGGGGGACUUCUCUGGAUUCACUGAGCCCUUCUCUAUCUACCUUUACAUUUAAUAUGUAUACCAUUAUUGCAUUACAUUCACUCUGUUUGCCCCUGUGUUAUUUCUCCGAGUGUCCCUGGUCCCAGAGCUGGAUGCUUCAGAUCUACGGUCGAUGUUCCACCAGCUGGUCCAGUCUCCAUCAUGUCCACUGUGGGAUGCUGCUGCUGACCUUCCUCCAGCCCUCCGCUUCCAGCUCCCCUUUUCCACCAGUCAACUCUGCAUCGCCUUCACUAUACUUGUUAUGCUAAUCUACAUACUGUUUGAAUUUUACUGCUAGCUAUAUAUGUAGUAGAUUUAAUGUCAGAGCCGUACAUCAUAAGAGUAAACUAUGAGUCACUUUUCAAUGUCAGCUUAUACUUUGUUUGAGUCAUAUCCUGUCAUACAUGUAUCCAAAUGUGUGUUGUGUUUUCCAUGCUUUCCCACCCCUCCCUCUUCUCCCAUCCCUCCCCCUUGCCCUCCUCUGUCCUUCUCAACCCGCCCGGCCAGCAGGCAGAUGGGUCCCCCCUAUAUAGAGCCGGGUUCUGCUCGAGGUUUUUUCCCUGUUAAAAGGGUGUUUUUCCUUGCCACUGUCGCCUUUGGGCUUGCUCUGGGGGUCAAGCAUAUGGGUUCUGUAAAGCGUCUUGAGACAAUUUGAUUGUAAUUGACGCUAUAUAAAUAAAAUUGAAUUGAACUGAAUUAAAUCAACAGUUGGUAAAUAUUCUGAUAAUCUUUCAGGGAGCUUGCAACAGCACUUCUCACUCUUCCCCAAAUUUUUAUAUACCAGAUAAUCAAUCAAAUUAACGUAGAGAAUAAUCCAUAAUCCAGAUCAAUCCAUGCUGAAGAUAAUCAUUAGUUGCAGAAAAUAACUUAAAAGUAGAUUGUGCUUUUACAUUAAUGCACAAGUAAUGAUAAUCUAAUUAUCUAACAUGUAACGGGACAUGUUUCUGCACUGUGUACUUUCAUGUGUAACGCUUAAAGCCCUUUUUCAUUAUACAACUUGCUUACUUUUACUUAGGUAGUAUCUCAAUUUUAGAACUUUAACUUGUAGCAGAGUACUGUAACAGUGUGGUUUCAGUAAAGGAUGUGAAUAUUUCCUCCACCAUUGCCAGCUCGUGACAAAUUUAUACAGGAUGAAUGCAAUCAGAUUGGAAGUAAUAAUCCUUGACAGAUGAAAUACACUGUUUGCUGUCCACCUGCAAUUGCAGAUUGUUUAAACAGGAGAAAAAAAUAUAUUUAAAAUAUAAUGCACCAUUCAAAUCUCUCUUUAAAACAAUAAGUAUAAUUAGGCUUUUAAGGAGAUUUUAUAACAGACAGGUGUUGCCUUUACCCUGUAAGCUUUGGCCCUAUGCUGUUCUUUCAGGUCAUGUCAGAUGUACUGCACUAAAAUGACACCCAACACCCACUGCAGAUUUAUUUGUUUUCAGAUGAAUAUUGUGUCUCUGACUGUUACUGCCUGUGUGAGUGGCUCAAGUGAACCCAGUGAAGCGGCCAAUGGUAGUCCCUGGGCCCUGUUUUUGAGGCACCUUCUCGAAAAUGAAAAAAAUAAAUAAAAAUGCUAUAUCUCUGGAAAUACAACCUCUAUGUGAAUAAUCUUGAUAUCAAAAUAAAGGUAAGACCAGUGAGAUUUCAUCAGAGGUGUAACCAUCACUGUAGGUGCCACUGUGUCAAAGUAAAUGCAGAAGAAACACAGGAAAAAAUGAAAGUUUGUUUAUUCUCGCCUAAAAAAAACUUUUUAUAGUAUCAAUUCCAUUUGAAAAUUAGCUGUGAGCUCCCUAAAUACUCCAGAAACAUAUGUAGUAACUUCUUGACAUUUCCUGUACAAAGCUGCAAGUGGCUACAGUAAAGCAGGGCAAAAUUAGAGGUUUUAGUAAAGGAAUGUCUGGGCGUUAUCCAGUUUGGCACAAUUUGGCACCACCUGUGCCACUUGAGUUUUCUUUGGCACCAAAUGGUAAAACUAAUUUAUUUUCAAUUCCAUGUCAUUAUGGCUCUAAAAUAAACUUGUUUUAUUAUAUAUAUAUACCCCCCAACACAUUAUAUAAAAAUAAAGCCAUACAAAAGGAUUACGUUUGCAUCCAAAAGGAGCAGAUUUAUUCUACACAAUAGCAAUAACAGUAGUAACAAUAACAGAAUGCAAUCCAGAAAUAGAAAAAUUAAAAAAAAACAAAAAAAAAAAACAAAAAAAAAACAACAA